Biomphalaria glabrata is the source of this 4279-nucleotide RNA transcript. RefSeq lists it as uncharacterized. The transcript has 9 exons. The record is from RefSeq and is a predicted model, not a curated record. Lineage: Eukaryota; Metazoa; Mollusca; Gastropoda; Planorbidae.
AGAAGCACACAGCUUACUAGCAGAUUCAGACGUGUAAGUUGGCUUUUGUAUUCGAUACUAAUAAUAAACUACUUGUAUUUGCAUGCUAGUCUGCCACCAGAAAAUGUUGCUUAUCACACAAUUGUUGGCUUGUAUCAUCGGAAUGACAGCUUCUGUUAAGGGACAAAAUGACAUUCAGAUUGAAAUGAAAUCUGAACAACUUGAAGGUUUUCUAUCAAGUUUCUUCAAUGGGAGCCGUAUUCAUGAUUUACUGACCUUGUCGUCUGCAGUGGCUGUUAACUUUAAGGAUUACAAUACUUACAGUUCUGAUUUCUAUCAUGAUCUUGUUGAAUCAGCAUUUAGAGCAGUUCCAACAAAAGAAUCCAUCAAAAGAAUAAGGAAUGACAUUUCUAUCUUAAGUGAAUUGUCAAGAAAAUUAAGGAAAUCAAUUGACGAGAAGAACAACAGUCAAUGGUCUUUGCUACUUCCAUCUAUUCAUGACACCUUGCUCAAUCUAGUUCAUCUAUUAGCACCUAGCUUCAACUCUAUGUUUACAUUUACGUGCCAUAGACUGAAUCAUUUUUCGUCCCAGUGUAGGAGACAGUUUUAUAAACAAAGUGAACAUGUUGCUGUGGAGAAUAUGGAAAGAUUGCGACAGAACUCUGGUAGAGAUGAAGAUGUUUCAGAAACAGACCACAAGAAGGUACCACCACCUCACCGUCACAAUGAAUGGAAAGGAGACAUUACUGAAACCCAGGAGUCUGAGGGAUGCUUUGAUGACUCUAAAUCUUUCUAAGAAAUAUAUACCUUAUGUUGCUUUUUAAUCGCUAAGGCUGUAUAAGGAUGAAGCCUACAAGUAGCACUGUCUACGGAUGUAGGCUAUUACAAUAUUUUGGAAAAUGUGUUAGAUUAAAAUAGUAGCCUAUUACAUUGUAGAGUCUGUGAAAUAUAUUUUUUUGUAAGAGAAUAUAAUAAAACCUUCAACCUUUUUAGAAUAGUUUCCUUGUCCCUUAAACUAAUGCAUAAUGUGAAGAAACAUCAUAUACGCUCUAUAUAUUAAGUUGUGAUAUUAAGCAUUCAGUGUGAAGGAAAGAAAAAUAACACCGUGUUAAUAUGAUAGCUUUGUAAUUAUUUAAAAGUAAAUAUAAACUUAAAUAAGGUCCACUAUUCACUUUUUAUUUCGGAAGAGACGUCAAAUAUGUAUGACUUCUUCAACCUUUUAUUGAGAAUCAAUAAGCCUAGCCGGGCAUUCUUUCUGCAGACAUCCGCCUUGUCUGUGUUCGCUUUAGUGUUAUUCCAUGCAUGAUGUAUCAUGUCACAUGGUGUAGAGGUAGACACUGUUACUAAUGUGCUACAAUGUUAUUUUCUAGUGGACAUGAAUGUCAGAUAUCUGAAGGUGGAACGGAAGCUGAUUUACACAAGCAUUUGAAGGACUGUCAGAAGAAUCCAGGCCAUAGACAGUUUAUUCCUAUUAAGUCAUUCAAUAUACAACACUUACCAGAAGACCAUCGCGACACGGAUUUGUAUGACUUAAUUAAUGCAGUUGCUGAAUUGACCGUUAGGGUCAGCGUCGUGAUGAUCAGCCCCAAUAGACCAGAGUUUUUUCUUAACACAAACUCUCCGUAUCCAUUUUACGGCAUGGGAGGUAACGCCAACACUAGGUCAGGCAGUGGAGUCAUUACUAUAUACAAGUACGAGUGUGGAUGUGGACAUAAUGUACAGGGCAAGAGACAAAACCCAGUCACAGAACGUAUCUAUGAAAGAGAGUACAAAUCAUGCCCGUGUGAGCAAUGCCAGCACUCAGACAAACCCAGCAAUGUCUGGUGGGAGAUUUACGUGGGUACAGCCGCGCAUGUGGUAUUUGAUGACAUCGAGGCCAGACACACGACUUGCAGACUUUUCUACGACGAACGAACAAGUCCUCUGGUUCGCCUUGACAAAUUCACACUUGACUAUGUGGAUGUCGAGAGGGACAGAUGCAGGUUAAUGUCUGUGGUAUGCGAUUCAUCCUUAGGAGAUAGGCUUUUCCAAACUGCUGUACACAGAGAUACUCUCCGACAGAAGCUGGAUGCUAAGUAUAAGAACAGAGACAACGGUACGUUCAGCUUUAUAGUGUCACACCCUCAUGGGUGCCCUAAACAGGUCAGCAUAGGUCAAUACAAGGAAAACUAUAUAGUCGGUGACUAUAACAAGGAGUAUAAAUUUACGAAAUUGAGCUAUACUACCAGCACAUGCCCUGGAAGUAGCGGGGCCAGUGUGUGUUGUCUGGGUCUGAACAACUUGCAUGUUCAUGGAGGAAGUUUAGACAAAGCACUAAAUCACAGCACAAUUGACUGGUCCACAGUAAGUGAACAAUGUUCAUGAGAUCGCUGGUGGUAAGAGUUACAUGACAUUGUACUGUCAUAUAAAUUAUACCAAAGAAGUCUAACAUGUACCGAUGUUUCACUUUCCCUAGUGCUUCAUUCUAGCUGUUCAAUUCAAGACACUUUCAGGCGUUAACAUGGAAGACAGUGACAGGAAGUCCUCGGGAAAAGAGAGAGAGAGAAGUGAUGAAUGCGAUACAAAGUUAUUUCACUUCAGUACAAGAGCAUUUUCACUUUUUCUGGAUAUUUUACACAGCUAUACGUUUGUAUUACUAGUAAAGUGCUCACAGAUUUAACAAACUGUCAAUGAUAAGACCCAUUUUAAUGUCUCUUCCAUAUUUUGUAUUAAUAAUAUGUCGAAUUCACACCCGACAAUACACUGAUGUCCCACACUAAUAUAUUGACAAUGCUAAAGACAUGUUAUACCCACGAUAAAGACCACCUGCCUGUUUUGCAUUAACCUAAAACAGGAGCCAGAAUGGGCUUGUUGGCCUUGGUUGGCUAUCCACGUAGGAAAUAGAAAAUUGUGAAUCCAAACCUCAGCUGCCUUGCGAUCAAACAUAAACACGGAAAAGGCUUUACAAGUCAGCCCUGAAAACAAAUGCAGACACAGCCAAUGCCUUCGACGAGAUGAGACAUUAUUGUGUUUACUAUCUAGUUCAGUGUAACUCUGAGCUCAAUCAAAAAACGUUCUCCAAAGAGUGAAACAAUUUCAACUCGAUCUUGUGCUCGAGAAGGUGAGAAACUAGUGGAAAAAAUGCAGAUACGUUGUUACAAUAACAUCCUCUUCUUAUCCAGCUUCAUCUAAACAGGGAAUUGUAUUCAACGUCCCACAACUCUACAGCGAGGCAUUGCAGAAAUCUCCAGCGGUACUAAGAGAAACGAGCUAUCCUAUUGUUACAGUCAGCUUUGUUAUCUGUAUCGCUCUGAAAUCAACGAAUUAUUGUGUAUAUGAUAGGCCUAUACAGAUUGAAAUUCAAAUGUAUUCUGUGACUUUACUACAGUAACAAAAUGUUACAUGCAGUUAAAACUUUUGAUAAAAAAAUAGAAUUGGCUUUUAAGAUAUUCAGCUGAUAUAUUUUUUUAAAACAAUUCCUCUUUUCAGCUUUAAAAUUCUUCAUCAGUUAUAAAAAAAACCGUGGUGGGUGGGUGGACACAGAUCUCAGAAAACGGCUCUAACGAUUUUCCUAGAAAUUUCACUGUUAAUGUAGAUCUUUUAAAAAAAAAAAACUUCUUGCUAAUUAGUCGCAUUGGAAAACUGGCUUAACAGUUAUAAUUUCUUUAAAAAAAAAAAAAUAAUCUUUAAAAUUAAAUUUAGUUGGGAGAAACAUUCUAUAUCCUGAACAAGUCUGCGAGUAUUCCAGCAUGUAUUCGGGAUUAUUGAGUUAAUGGGUCAAUAAUAGACAUUCAUUUAUGCACAUGAUAUGUCUGGAUCUCUAGGCCUAUCAUCAGAACUUUAUAUACUCUUAGCAGAUUUAUAAAUUUGCUUUUCUCGGGGGCGGGGCUGUUCCUUGUUGUUUCUAUCAAUCAUUAGUUAUUAAGAACAAAAUAACGCUCUUGGAACAUAUUUGCUGCAUAAAGCAGGAAGUAACUGUCUUUAAAACAAAACUCCUAUGUUACUUGCUCUACAUUUGAUUUAGAACCAAUAAGAGUUAUGGACCUUGAGACAAAAAGGGAGGAAACAAAAGGAGCCCUGCAAGAUAUCAAAACAAGUGAAUGUAUUAGACUUGAGCACUGGAUCUACAUGUUCAAUACAGUUGUAAAAGUAACAGUAACAAUACUUGGGUGUUUAUUAUGUUAAGUGUUUUUAUAUUAUAUGAAUUAGCAGCUCUGAGGUCAAUCAAAAACAUUGCUUAAUGUAUUGCAUUUUAAUUUAUCUGUCCUGUUGUAUAAUUGACUUGCAAUGAAAUAUAUUAAAAGACAACAAUAAACUGACU